GUUUUAAUAGUUUAAUUAAAAACUUCGGUCUUGUAAAUCGAAAAUGAAAAUAUAUUUCUUAAAGCA
Molecule: transfer RNA, 66 nt
Filed under: Ibacus ciliatus (Japanese fan lobster)
Lineage: Eukaryota; Metazoa; Arthropoda; Malacostraca; Decapoda; Scyllaridae
Description: tRNA-Thr
Rfam family: tRNA
About the family: Transfer RNA (tRNA) molecules are approximately 80 nucleotides in length.
Source: RNAcentral